UUUACACAGAUCUGUGUUAUCUGGAUUUUGCGUGUAAAUAAAUGUUAGUUGUUUUUUUGCGCUCCGGAGUUUCGGGUUGAAUUUCUGAACCAAGUGGCCAGUGUGGAAGCGGAAUGAAAGGGACUCGAUUCUGUUCUACACGUAAUAUUGGCCACAGGAUGAGAACAUUCAAAUCUCGAUCAUUUUGGACACGGACGGAGAUGAUCUGUUGCGGAGUCGUCGUUCCUCGUUCUUCUGGCAGUCCGACUCGACGUUGUCCAUCAGGUGACGAAGACAACCAACUUAUACGAAACGACGAAAUCCAGCAAGAACCGAGCUGCAGGCAAAUGUGGCACGAACAGCCAUCCUACUCGUUAGAAACGGGCUCUAUCAUUGUCUCGGCAGACGGCGGCGGCAACGAUCAACUCCUCCACGGGCUUCCCGGCGGCCGGUGACCAACGACACGCUUAUGUGCAAGUUGCAGUUCUACGACGACAAGGAGACCAGCACGUAGUCGCUGCACAAGUUUUCCGAGACGUAGGCCUGCCUGAUCGGAUCGAUGAAUACACGAAGCUGGAGAAAAGUGAACAACGUCAUUGCCGCCCUGUGUAAAUUUUGAUCCUGGAACGUAAUCCUUGACCUCGAUAUCGCUGCACCACCCUACGCGAAGCAGCCUGCUGGAACCAGAGAUCGUAACGAUUUUCCCCAAGGAACCAACAUUGAUUACCGUGACAAACUAUCUUGCACGAAGCUUUGUUUUAUAAAAUAUGAACCUGUCAUUAUAUUUUUGUAAUUAUUAUCAAAUAAUUCAAUAAAAAUGCCGUUUAGUUGUUUAUCAAUUAUUUA
This is a long non-coding RNA of Culex quinquefasciatus (southern house mosquito), 825 nucleotides long. RefSeq lists it as uncharacterized. The record is from RefSeq and is a predicted model, not a curated record. The transcript has 3 exons. NCBI's taxonomy places the organism in Eukaryota, Metazoa, Arthropoda, Insecta, Diptera, Culicidae.